GAUGAACGCUGGCGGCAUGCUUUACACAUGCAAGUCGGGCGGGAAGUGGUGUUUCCAGUGUCGGACGGGUGAGUAACGCGUAAGAGCCUGCCCUUGGGAGGGGAACAACAGCUGGAUACCGCUCCGAAUACCCCGCAGGCUGAGGAUCGAAAGGAGGACUCCGCCCAAGGAGGGGCUCGCGUCUGAUUAGCUAGUUGGUGAGGUAAUAGCUUACCAAGGCCGUGAUCAGUAGCUGUUCCGAGAGGAUGAUCAGCCACACUCGGACUGAGACCAGGACCAGACGACUACGGGAGGCAGGAGAAGGGCAGAUCCAGCCAUGGGGGGUAGGCUGACAGGGCAAUGGGGCGUGAAAGUAAAAGGCCUAGGGGUGAAGAGCUUCAUGUCAUGGCCAAGAAAUAAUGACGGUAUCUGGAGAAUAAGCAUCGGCUAACUCUGUG
This 437-nucleotide ribosomal RNA is filed under the name uncultured bacterium. RNAcentral describes it as "partial 16S ribosomal RNA". It matches the Rfam family "Bacterial small subunit ribosomal RNA", at positions 28 to 507 of the family's 1533-position model. The record is from RNAcentral.